GUGACUCUUCUCUCUCCUCUGCUAUGUGCCUCCCUCCUUCCCCCAAGCAACAACCAGCCUGGAAAAGGGGAGAGGGAACCCCACUGCAGUCCCACCCCAGCCUGGGAAAGAGGGGUGAAGAACUUCAGAAGCUGAUGGAGGAGCAGAGGUUUUGGGACUACACUGGGAGAUGCUGAUUGAUUUCUGCCAACUCAUUGUGGCAAGCGUGGCUCGUCAACCUGUGUGGAUAUUAGUAAGGGAUCUGUAUGACAGUGGCAGAUGAACCUCCUGAGUUGUGUGUCCAGUUCAGUUCUGCCCCAGACAGAUUGGCAUCAGCGUGAGCGUGUUCAAUGGCCCAGGUGGUCAUCAUCUUUACAAUGGACCCACUGAAAUGAGACCGGUGUAACACUGUAUGAAUCAGCAGGACUUGUAGGGACAUGGUUAUGGACAGAGGACUCCAAGUUUUUCCAUGUCAUGUGCUGUGAAGCUUGUGUUUGGGAAAUAGGAAGUACAAGCCUCAUGUCAAAAGGAAUAUAAAGGGUAGCUGCAUCCUCUCCAUUUGGUCUUCAUUCCUGCUGCCUACCUCUGGAAUAACUUCUACAAAUGAAGCUCUGAACAAAGGACUGAAUGACCCAUCCAAGCUGUGGAUGUGCUCCAGAGGGACUUUCAAGCCAGCAAACUCACCAAUAUUGCUAAGACCCUGCUAUGUGGACUUUGAAGUCCCUGUAUGUAUCUAUCUGAUUGCU
Long non-coding RNA from Malaclemys terrapin pileata, 725 nucleotides. RefSeq lists it as uncharacterized. The record is from RefSeq and is a predicted model, not a curated record. The transcript has 4 exons. NCBI's taxonomy places the organism in Eukaryota, Metazoa, Chordata, Testudines, Emydidae.